UAUGAAAUUAACGAACGAAUAUAUCAUCACAAAGGAGUUUUGGGGAUGGGCACAAUCGUAUGUCAAACAUGUGAUGCGACCAUUGCACAUUUUGAAGACGAAAAAGUGACAACGCUUUACGGAAAAUGUUGCAAAUGCAAUAGCGAUGAGACUGCAGAAGAGGAAGAAUAAAGAAACGGUCAAACGGUGGGGGAAGGUUUGCACAUAGCGCGCAUGUGAAAGGGGCACAUGCGCGCCUUUUACUUUUAU
This is a small RNA of 249 nucleotides. It matches the Rfam family "SR1 sRNA". The record is from Rfam.